RNAcentral lists this long non-coding RNA (770 nucleotides) under Panax ginseng (ginseng). Its description in RNAcentral is "long non-coding RNA (PGIN_LNC006091)". The record is from RNAcentral. Lineage: Eukaryota; Viridiplantae; Streptophyta; Magnoliopsida; Apiales; Araliaceae.
UAAUGAGUUGGAUUAUAAAAGGGAAGGGAAUGUACGAGUAUAAUCAAGGAAGUGAAUAACAAUGCGGUUUUGUAUCCCAUUGUGUUGCAAAAAGAAAUCUAAGCCUGAUGAUGAUGAACAUCAAUCACUUGAGCAAAUAUCUUCGCAUUCCAAAUCCGAUAGAGGCAAUGUGAGCAAGGGUGGCGAAUAUCAUGUUGAAUCCAGCCACGGCACCGCCACCAAUGACGCUGGCAAUGGCAUGGCAGCUUUGGUGGUGACCGGAGCAGCACACGCAUCUGCGGAGGAUGGUAGUGCAUGUGGCAGUUCUCAUGGUGGCGCUGCCGCUGCCGGUGGUGAUGGUGGUGGUUGAUAUGUAGUUGAUCGUUAAUUAUUGUACUUCUCUCUUCUUCUUUCUUCUUUUUGGUCUGUGUGUCAGUGUGAGUGUGUUCUUGUUGAGUGUUUUGAAUUUUCAUUUUCAAUUUAUGUAAUUUUUUUUUAAUUAUUUUAUUUUUGAUGGGUUUUCUAUCCUCUUAUUUUUUGGGUAAGCUAUAAUUAUCUCUAGGAAUUUGUGUGGAUUUUUUAAGACGAGACGAGAGAUGAUCAAAGAGAGGAGACGAGUAUCAUGUGUUCUCAUAAGAGCUGCAUGCUCUUAUAUUUCUUUUAUAAGUAUUAAGUAUAGAUCAUGGAAUCAAAAUAUUAAAGCAAUGUAUCCAUCCAACAUUAAUUCAUACAUGUCUGUUGCUAAUGUUUUUUUCGAGCAUAUUUAUACACAAGCAUCAUGUUAAUCGGAC